Molecule: ribosomal RNA, 489 nt
Filed under: Wagneriana tayos
Lineage: Eukaryota; Metazoa; Arthropoda; Arachnida; Araneae; Araneidae
Description: partial large subunit ribosomal RNA
Rfam family: Eukaryotic large subunit ribosomal RNA
Source: RNAcentral
CCCGCAACCGGUUCGGAAACGGCCUUAAGGGUCGGUAAUGGCAGUUGGCCGGUGGCUCGUCUCGUGCGGGUCGUCGGUUGUUAGCCGUCCGAUCUUGGCUCGUGGCCGGACCGUGGUGUCGCGAGGCCUUUAUAGGCUUCUUCGCCUCCUCCGUUCGCGGACGCCGGGAUCCCRYGGCAGGGGUUCGCACUUCUGCGGGCGCACGGACCGACUCCGUGGCCCAGCGGUCGCAUGCGGCCUCGUUGGCUGUGGUGAACCCGUCGGAGGUUGGCGGUUAGCGGGGAGUAGAUCGGUCACCCACCCGACCCGUCUUGAAACACGGACCAAGGAGUCUAACAUGUGUGCGAGUCAAUGGGUCUCGAAUAAGCCCAGAGGCGCAAUGAAAGCAAAGGCAGGACUCGACGCCUGCCGAGUUGGGAUCCUCCUUCCUUCGCGUUGGAGGCGCACCAACGACCCGUCCUGUCCCAUUUAUGGGUUGGGCGGAGUUUG